CCUACGGGUGGCAGCAGUGAGGAAUAUUGGUCACUGGUCGGGAGCCUGAACCAGCCAAGCCGCGUGAGGGAGGAAGGUCCACAGUAUCGUAAACCUCUUUUGUCAGGGAACAAAGGCGUCCACGUGUAGACUGAUGAGUGUACCUGAAGAACAAGCAUCGGCUAACUCCGUGCCAGCAGCCUCGGUAAUACGGAGGAUGCGAGCGUUAUCCGGAUUUAUUGGGUUUAAAGGUUGCGUAGGCGGUCAGUACAGUCAGCGGUAAAAAUGCGGUGCUAAACGCCGUACAGCCGUUGAAACUGGCAGUCUUGAGUGGGCGAGAGGCAUGCGGAAUGCGUGGUGUAGCGGUGAAAUGCAUAGAUAUCACGAAGAAAUCCGAUUGCGAAGGCAGCAUACCGGCGCCCUACUGACGCUGAGGCACGAAAGCGUGGGUAUCGAACAGGAUUAGAUACCCCAGUAGUC
RNAcentral lists this ribosomal RNA (459 nucleotides) under uncultured bacterium. RNAcentral describes it as "partial 16S ribosomal RNA". It matches the Rfam family "Bacterial small subunit ribosomal RNA", at positions 338 to 795 of the family's 1533-position model. The record is from RNAcentral.